UGUGGCUUAGUGGUAGAGCGCUUGCCUAGCAUGUGUGAGGCACUGGGUUCGAUUCUCAGCA
This 61-nucleotide transfer RNA is filed under the name Marmota marmota marmota (Alpine marmot). It matches the Rfam family "tRNA", at positions 6 to 65 of the family's 71-position model. Rfam says of the family: Transfer RNA (tRNA) molecules are approximately 80 nucleotides in length. Their secondary structure includes four short double-helical elements and three loops (D, anti-codon, and T loops). RNAcentral also lists the same sequence under 1 other name. Lineage: Eukaryota; Metazoa; Chordata; Mammalia; Rodentia; Sciuridae. The record is from Rfam by way of RNAcentral.